This 612-nucleotide ribosomal RNA is filed under the name Cycloseris vaughani. RNAcentral's name for it is "eukaryotic LSU rRNA". The stretch from base 243 to 396 matches the Rfam family "5.8S ribosomal RNA". Lineage: Eukaryota; Metazoa; Cnidaria; Anthozoa; Scleractinia; Fungiidae. The record is from RNAcentral.
GGUUUCCGUAGGUGAACCUGCGGAAGGAUCAUUACCGAUGUAAUCCAAAAGCACGACUCCGUCGUGACUACCGUGUGAACUGUACCAAACUAUUCAGGGGUCGGCCGGUCCGUUAAAUGGCGGUCGGACGCGCGUGUAGUGCGCGGCCGCUCCGCCAGCCCCGCCUGUGUUUUUUUAUAUCAUACGUGUCUUGUCUGAAAACGUGACCACUGCCGUGGUCUAGAGCAAAUGAAAAGAGAGACAACUUUUGACGGUGGAUCUCUUGGCUCACGCAUCGAUGAAGAACGCAGCCAGCUGCGAUAAGUAGUGUGAAUUGCAGAAUUCAGUGAAUCAUCGAAUCUUUGAACGCAAAUGGCGCUCUUGGGUUCUCCCAGGAGCAUGUCUGUCUGAGUGUCGGAUAUCAUCCAACGCACCCAGUCGUGCGGCGUUGAGGCGUCACGGCCCUUCUUGCGGCCGUGUCCCUUGAAAGUUAGAGAGACUCGCCGCGGCACGGGCUCGUUCCCUGCACACUCGCGGAGGCUAAAAACGCUUUUGCCCUUCGCGUGCACGGGAGCGACUCGUCCGCCGAGUCGCGGAGGCGAAAACUUUUUCAACUCUUGACCUCAGAUCAGG